Molecule: ribosomal RNA, 430 nt
Filed under: Acidobacteriota bacterium
Lineage: Bacteria; Pseudomonadati; Acidobacteriota
Description: Acidobacteria bacterium partial 16S ribosomal RNA
Rfam family: Bacterial small subunit ribosomal RNA
Source: RNAcentral
UGGGGAAUAUUGGACAAUGGGCGAAAGCCUGAUCCAGCCAUGCCGCGUGUGUGAAGAAGGCCUUUUGGUUGUAAAGCACUUUAAGCGAGGAGGAGGCUACUUGGAUUAAUACUCUAGGAUAGUGGACGUUACUCGCAGAAUAAGCACCGGCUAACUCUGUGCCAGCAGCCGCGGUAAUACAGAGGGUGCGAGCGUUAAUCGGAUUUACUGGGCGUAAAGCGUGCGUAGGCGGCUUCUUAAGUCGGAUGUGAAAUCCCUGAGCUUAACUUAGGAAUUGCAUUAGAUACUGGGAAGCUAGAGUAUGGGAGAGGAUGGUAGAAUUCCAGGUGUAGCGGUGAAAUGCGUAGAGAUCUGGAGGAAUACCGAUGGCGAAGGCAGCCAUCUGGCCUAAUACUGACGCUGAGGUACGAAAGCAUGGGGAGCAAACAGG